This is a long non-coding RNA of Lethenteron reissneri (Far Eastern brook lamprey), 1930 nucleotides long. RefSeq lists it as uncharacterized. NCBI's taxonomy places the organism in Eukaryota, Metazoa, Chordata, Hyperoartia, Petromyzontiformes, Petromyzontidae. The record is from RefSeq and is a predicted model, not a curated record.
AUAUCUGAAUUUUUCUGAGAUGGCAUCCAGAGGCUGCAAGCAUCCAACAAAAGCAUUUUUCUAUGUCUGCGGUCAAUUUAUCAAGACAAGAGCAAAAACGUACUCUGUAGAAGCAUCUGCUAAGAUGUGUGAGGCCUACAAGGCAUAUUUCAGCAUGCCUGUCGGGGAUCAAGACAAACCCUGGGCAGAUUAUUUCACCGGCGAAUAAUGCAAAAAAACGUCUCGAAGGAUGGUACAGAGGGGAAAAGAGAGCCAUGAAGUUCGCUGUCUCAAGAAUUUGGCGGGAACCCACUGACCACUCAAGCAACUGCUACUUCUGCAUGGUGGACCCUUCCAAACGUCGGACUGGCAAGAAUGCAGCUGCUAUCACGUAUCUGGACCUUCCUUCAUCCAUCGCCCCGGUGAUGCACUGCCAUGAGCUCCCCGUACCCACUCCUCCAGAGAGAGAGCAGCCGUCUUUCGAAGAGAGCAGCAAGUCAGAGAACGAGGAAGGCGUUGUAGAUAUAGAUCACAAUUUCAAAGGUGGAGCUGAAGAGAGAAACCAUACUACCCCAACCAAAAAUAACUCAACGACUUGAUCAGAGAUCUUGGUAAAAGAGAUCUUGGAAAAAGAGAUAUUGGUCUCACCAAGUCCAAUGCUGAGCUUUUGAUGUCUAGGCUCAAGCAGUGGAACUUGUUGGAUGAAAGUGUGCAAGUCGCAGAUCAGAGGAAGCGUCACCAACCUUUUUGCAGCAUAUUCGCCUGUCAAAAUGGGCUCUGCUUAUGCCACAAUGUGACCAGUCUGUUGGAGGCAAUCGGAAUCACCUGUGACCAGAAUGAGUGGUGCCUCUUCAUUGACAGCUCAUCCAGGAGCUUCAAAGCCUUGCUGUGCCAUAAUGGUAACAAGUAUCCGACUCUUCCCCUGGCUCACUCGGUGCACCUUAAAGAUGAUUACAACAGCACCAAGACCUUUCUGGACACCUUGAAGUAUGAUGAGUACAGCUGGAAGGUCAUCGGAGACUUAAAAAUGGUGGCAUUUCUAAUGGGUUUCCAAGGUGGUUUUACCAAGUUCCCCUGCUAUCUUUACCUUUGGGACAACAGGGACACCAAGGCGCACUACCACAAGCGGGACUGGCCAGAGCGGACCGAGUUCUCUGUGGGGAAGACCAACAUCAAGUGGGAGCCACUGGUGGACCCCUAAAAGGUGUUGAUGCCACGACUACACAUCAAAUUGGGCCUUAUGAAACCAUUUGUCAGAGCUGUAGAUAAGGAGUCGACAGCCUUCAAUUACCUUCAAGACUUCUUCCCUAAGCUGUCUGAGGCAAAGGUAAAAGCCGGUGUCUUCAUCGGACCACAGAUAAAGAAGAUCCUGGAGUGCAAUGAAUUACCCAAUAAGCUCACUCGUAAGGAGAAAUCAGCUUGGAACAGCUUUGUCGCAGUGGUUCGUGGCUUCCUGGGCAAUCACAAGGUCGAAAACUACGUGGAGCUGGUUGAGACUCUGCUGACAGUAUCCACACCGCUCGUGCCUGCACAUCUGCGCUUUAUUUGAAAGAUGGGUCAAUUGACGUGCGGAGUAAAGUGGAUUAAGGUCAAAAUUCAGCGGCAGUACAAUUCAACAUUGUUCUUCAAGGACCAGCAUUUUAAGCGCGUUUGGAAAACAUUACCGAUGAUGAAUAUACGUGUACGUGCAUCAAUUUGUUGUUUGCUAAUGCGCCAUUGCGAGGGCAGACGCAUUGUGACGAGACUUACGUGGACUCUAAUCUAGGAGGACAUCUCAUUACUUUGAACAGGGCAGCAGGCAGUGUCACUUGGACAGCUCACACCAGGAAAAAUGGCAUCCCCAUCCUAGUAGAGUAAAUAAUCAAACAGACUAACCUCCGAAUAAUAUACUGCUGGCUGCUUAUCCUACGCUGCACUUAAUCAAGACAGUGCCUAAACAUUAAUUACAAUA